UGAGUCGGCCAGGCGACCGCGUUCCCUUCGGGGACCGAGGAACGUCCGGGCUCCACAGGGCAGGGUGGUGGCUAACGGCCACCCGGGGUGACCCGCGGGACAGUGCCACAGAAAACAGACCGCCCCUCGCAGCGCGGGGGGUAAGGGUGAAACGGUGCGGUAAGAGCGCACCAGCGCGGCGGGUGACCGCCGCGGCUCGGUAAACCCCACCCGGAGCAAGGCCAGACAGGGAGUGAGUCGCCCGCUCAACGCUCCCGGGUAGGCCGCUGGAGGCACGCGGCAACGCGUGUCGUAGAUGGAUGGUCGCCGUUCGCCGCCGGGUAACCGGCGGCGUUCACAGAACCCGGCGUAUCGGCCGACUCAUCCA
RNAcentral lists this RNase P RNA (367 nucleotides) under Serinibacter salmoneus. RNAcentral's name for it is "Bacterial RNase P class A". It matches the Rfam family "Bacterial RNase P class A". From Rfam's summary of the family: Ribonuclease P (RNase P) is a ubiquitous endoribonuclease, found in archaea, bacteria and eukarya as well as chloroplasts and mitochondria. Its best characterised activity is the generation of mature 5'-ends of tRNAs by cleaving the 5'-leader elements of precursor-tRNAs. Lineage: Bacteria; Bacillati; Actinomycetota; Actinomycetes; Micrococcales; Beutenbergiaceae. The record is from Rfam by way of RNAcentral.